UGCGGAAAGUGUGGGUGUAAACACAAUAUUUAAACAAGUGCUGCUUUUCGAAAAAAGUGACAAAUGAGACGUCCUGAUCAUUGAACGCCACAAACCGAAACCUUCAAGUCAACAAGGCGGCACGUGUUGAACAACACCAUGAAGUCGGGACUCUUCGCUUUGAGCCUUUUGCUGCUCUUUGCAAUCGGCACCAGCGAUAUUUUCAGUGGUCGCCCCCCAAGCGCUGCUCAGUUGAAGCUGGCCGACUAUGAUGGUGGACCUCUCGGCAGAUUCUUCCAUAAAGACCCUAUCGACAGAUUCUCUCAAGAAAGGCCUAUCGGAAGGUCGGGUCUUUAUUGAGAGAAUCAAAGAUCAGUUAUACUCCAGUGUGCCAAAGCGGCAUGGGCGCAUCGGGUCGAAAUGCUACCAGGACUCCUCGAGCAUGCAUUAAUUUUAGUGGGCUUGCAAAGCAUUAAAAAUCAAUUAAAAAAAGAA
This is a long non-coding RNA of Hippocampus zosterae (dwarf seahorse), 474 nucleotides long. RefSeq lists it as uncharacterized. The transcript is spliced from 4 exons. The record is from RefSeq and is a predicted model, not a curated record. NCBI's taxonomy places the organism in Eukaryota, Metazoa, Chordata, Actinopteri, Syngnathiformes, Syngnathidae.